Molecule: long non-coding RNA, 369 nt
Filed under: Homo sapiens (human)
Lineage: Eukaryota; Metazoa; Chordata; Mammalia; Primates; Hominidae
Description: non-protein coding lnc-GPR75-1:1
Source: RNAcentral
UGAUCUCAGCUCACUGCAAGCUCUGCCUCCCAGGUUCAAGUGUUUCUCCUGCCUCAGUCCCCCGAGUAGCUGGGACUACAGGCGUGCGCCACCAUGCCUGGCUAAUUUUUGUAUUUUUAGUAGAGACGGGGUUUCACUAUGUUGGCCAGGCAGGUCUCGAACUCAUAACCUCAAGUGAUCGGCCUGCCUUGGCCUCCCAAAGUGCUGGGAUUACAGGCGUGAGCCACCGUGCCCGGACAAGAUAUGAUCUUAAGGCUUACAUUUAGAUUAACAAUUCCAUUUUCUGAAAGGUAAUUAAUUUAGUCUAUGAUCCUGUAACAGGAUAAAAGUGAAAAAUAAAGAAGGGUAUCCCCAUCAUCUCCUCCAAAU